This is a long non-coding RNA of Vitis vinifera (wine grape), 702 nucleotides long. RefSeq lists it as uncharacterized. The record is from RefSeq and is a predicted model, not a curated record. Lineage: Eukaryota; Viridiplantae; Streptophyta; Magnoliopsida; Vitales; Vitaceae. The transcript is spliced from 3 exons.
AAAAUAAUACAAGAUCGUUGGCAGAAAACACUAAAACAUCCACUUCAUGCAGCAGCAUACUUCUUGAAUCCAAGAUUUCAAUAUAGGCGUGGAGUUGGUAGUGAUCCGGAACUACUUCAAGCUGUCCAUGAUGUUUUUGCAAAAUUAGAUCCAACUACUGAAUCGCUUGGUCAAUUUGGAAAUGAGCUUGUACUUUUUCGAGAUGCAAAAAGAGGAUUCGGUGAUCGAGCGGCAAUUGCAUCAAGGUCAACCAUGGUGCCCGGUGAGUCUUUAUAGGAAAAAAUUGAUUAUUAUUAUUGUAAGUUCACCACAUAAGUAUUUAUAUGAUUAUCAAAUUCGUUGCAGCUGAAUGGUGGUUUAUGUAUGGGAAUCAAACACCUACAUUGAGAAAGUUAGCCAUCAAAGUUCUCUCACAAACUGCGUCAUCUUCUGCAUGUGAGAGAAAUUGGAGCACGUUUGCUCUCAUCCACACAAAGCAACGAAAUCGUUUGGCUUACCCUCGAUUGGAGCAAUUAGUGUUUUGUUACUAUAAUAUGAGGCUAAAGUUACGCGAUAUGGAGGCAGAAAAUGAUCGAGUUGCUGAAAAAGAUUACCUUGAUCUUCUUGACAUUUCAGCCGAGGUGGGUGAAGAAGAAGAUAAUCAGUUGUUCCAGUGGGUUAGGCCUAUACACUUGGAUGACGAAGUUGGAAAUCCUGAUCCAC